RNAcentral lists this unclassified non-coding RNA (221 nucleotides) under uncultured Tomentella. RNAcentral describes it as "partial internal transcribed spacer 2". The record is from RNAcentral. Lineage: Eukaryota; Fungi; Basidiomycota; Agaricomycetes; Thelephorales; Thelephoraceae.
ACACCUCAACUCUCAUGGUUUUGCCAUGAUGAGCUUGGACUUUGGGGGUCUUGCUGGCCUAUUGUCGGCUCCUCUUAAAUGAAUCAGCUUGCCAGUGUUUGGUGGCAUCGCAGGUGUGAUAACUAUCUACGCUUGUGGUUUUCCGUCAAGUAACCUUCAGCGAUGGAGGUUCACUGGGGCUCAUAAAGGCCUCUCCUCAGUGAGGAUGGCUCCUUUUGAAU